This 119-nucleotide transfer RNA is filed under the name Fusicatenibacter saccharivorans. RNAcentral describes it as "tRNA-Phe". It matches the Rfam family "tRNA". Rfam says of the family: Transfer RNA (tRNA) molecules are approximately 80 nucleotides in length. Their secondary structure includes four short double-helical elements and three loops (D, anti-codon, and T loops). Further hydrogen bonds mediate the characteristic L-shaped molecular structure. tRNAs have two regions of fundamental functional importance: the anti-codon, which is responsible for specific mRNA codon recognition, and the 3' end, to which the tRNAs corresponding amino acid is attached (by aminoacyl-tRNA synthetases). tRNAs cope with the degeneracy of the genetic code in two manners: having more than one tRNA (with a specific anti-codon) for a particular amino acid; and 'wobble' base-pairing, i.e. permitting non-standard base-pairing at the 3rd anti-codon position. Lineage: Bacteria; Bacillati; Bacillota; Clostridia; Lachnospirales; Lachnospiraceae. The record is from RNAcentral. RNAcentral also lists the same sequence under 2 other names.
AAGGCGGUAGUUUAACGGGCAAAACCUGUGCAGAAAAAUGUUUCAUGUUUGUGGAACGUACAGCAAAUUUUUCGUAGAGGAUAAGGCACAGAAUGCAGGUUCAAGUCCUGCCCGCCUUA